UACGAUAUCUAUAACCUGAAUGCAUCUGAUCUCUUUUGAUCUCAGAAGCUAAGCAGGGACAGGCCUUGGAUGGAAGACUGCCUGGAAAUACUAGAUGUUGUAG
RNAcentral lists this ribosomal RNA (103 nucleotides) under Notamacropus eugenii (tammar wallaby). Lineage: Eukaryota; Metazoa; Chordata; Mammalia; Diprotodontia; Macropodidae. The record is from RNAcentral.